This 267-nucleotide long non-coding RNA is filed under the name Phoenix dactylifera (date palm). RNAcentral describes it as "long non-coding RNA (PDAC_LNC006555)". The record is from RNAcentral. Lineage: Eukaryota; Viridiplantae; Streptophyta; Magnoliopsida; Arecales; Arecaceae.
UGAGUGAGAGCAGCAGUGGAGGGUAGGAUGUCUGUGGAAGGUCCUCCACCAAAUGAUCCAUGAGAUGCCAUCUCAUCAGCCAAAAGGGAUGCUAAUCUGCGCAACUAAUCCUCACUCAGUGCAGGUGGAGAGGGAAAAGAAGAUGGAUCAGGAUGUGUUGUUGUAGGUGCAUGGAUGGAAGGCGAAGAGGAUAUGUCAGGGGAAGCUAUAGGAAUAUUGGGGUGUGGAGCAGAGGAGGAAGCAGCAGUAUUCAAGGUUGUCCUAGUC